ACAUACGCGUGUGAAUCAUCGAAUCUUUGAACGCACCUUGCACCUUGGGAGUCUAUCCCAAGGUAUACCUGUUUGAGUAUCAUUUACAAUUAUCCAAGUAAUUGGGUUUUGAGGAGUCGCAGCUUACGAGCUUCGUCCCUUUAAAUGUAGCAGGCUGGAGAUAAAAGUGCGGCUACUAGUCUUCUUCUGAGGUAAUUUGCUUUUUUUAAGCAAUGAUUUUCAGGAGGUUUAUGGGCUUUUAGUUAAUGCGUUAUCUUUUAACAGAUCCUGGUUGGGUUUUUUUAAACUUCACAUUUAGUGUAGUAAUAGUAGUUGUAGGGUAAUUCCUUCACUACUCUUCUACACAAAAGAACAAUUGUGAUCUCAAAUCAGGCAAGAUUACCCGCCGAACUUAAGCAUAUCAAUAAGCGGAGG
This 414-nucleotide ribosomal RNA is filed under the name uncultured Gomphales. Its description in RNAcentral is "eukaryotic LSU rRNA". The stretch from base 359 to 414 matches the Rfam family "Eukaryotic large subunit ribosomal RNA", at positions 1 to 56 of the family's 3401-position model. Lineage: Eukaryota; Fungi; Basidiomycota; Agaricomycetes. The record is from RNAcentral.